RNAcentral lists this ribosomal RNA (484 nucleotides) under uncultured bacterium. RNAcentral's name for it is "partial 16S ribosomal RNA". It matches the Rfam family "Bacterial small subunit ribosomal RNA", at positions 29 to 507 of the family's 1533-position model. The record is from RNAcentral.
AUUGAACGCUGGCGGCAUGCUUUACACAUGCAAGUCGAACGGCAGCGCGGGCUUCGGCCUGGCGGCGAGUGGCGAACGGGUGAGUAAUGCAUCGGAACGCGCCCAGUAGUGGGGGAUAGCCCGGCGAAAGCCGGAUUAAUACCGCAUACGACCUGAGGGUGAAAGCGGGGGACCGAAAGGCCUCGCGCUAUUGGAGCGGCCGAUGUCGGAUUAGCUAGUUGGUGGGGUAAAGGCUUACCAAGGCGACGAUCCGUAGCUGGUCUGAGAGGACGACCAGCCACACUGGGACUGAGACACGGCCCAGACUCCUACGGGAGGCAGCAGUGGGGAAUUUUGGACAAUGGGGGCAACCCUGAUCCAGCCAUGCCGCGUGCGGGAAGAAGGCCUUCGGGUUGUAAACCGCUUUUGUUCGGGAAGAAAUCCUCUGGGCUAAUACACCGGGGGGAUGACGGUACCGGAAGAAUAAGCACCGGCUAACUACGUG